AUCCAGAUGACGAGUCCCUAACAGAACGAAAUGUGCAUGCUGGAU
This 45-nucleotide non-coding RNA is filed under the name Trichobilharzia regenti. The record is from RNAcentral. Lineage: Eukaryota; Metazoa; Platyhelminthes; Trematoda; Strigeidida; Schistosomatidae.